CAAGGGAAUCAAUUUGUUUCUUUAAGUAUGAACAGACCUAUCCCGGCAGGACAUCAAAUACAUCUGCCUCAUGAAUUAUUUGUAACUUUGUCAAAGAAAGUGCAAUUUGAUGGUGCUAAUGUCAGUCUCCACAGCUCAGUGGGCUCUUGUUUCAGAGCAGAAAUGAGAAAGACCCUUCCCCGGCCAGUGGAAGAAACCCUCUGCAAUAAAACAUCGCACACUGCUGCAUGUGCCCGUUUGACAAAGACAAUUUGAUUUGUCCGUGGCUUUUAAAAUAUUCAUCCAACUUUGAUGGACUAUAGUUUUACAAAAAGAGAUCAUCAUUAGCUGGCACCCUGCCUCCAGCCAACACCACACCAUUCACUUGGAGUGAAGACAUCCAAUAAAAAAAAGAAAUCAUUAUCUGCCUAAGAACCCUAAUCAGUAAUGUUGGGUUCAAGUGCAGCUUAGGGGUCACUAACUCACUUUCACUGCCUCUGUGCUUUGGGGAGGAAGAUGCGUUUUGUGGACUUCACAUCACAGGCCAAGGAGAGACUUUGCAAAAGCCAGGAGGCCAAGUUGAAGGAGGAAGAACAGAGUUUGUGGCUGGAGGGAUAAGAACUGACUAGAAUCAUGAAACCAAGGAAAAGCUGGAAGGGCUCUUAAGAACACAGAAUGUUAGUGAUAGAAGGAACCUUAGUACAUAGAGCAUCAGACCCAGAAACAACGUUAGAACACAUUGUUAAGAGUGGAAAGGACCUGAAAUUGAAAAUGUUGGAGUUGGAAAGGACCUUAGAACAUAGAAUUUUAAAUAGAGAACCCAAGAUGUCAAGAGCUGAAAGAUCCUAGAAUACAGAAUGCUGGCACUGAAAGAGAAUUUAGAGCCGAGAAUGUCAGAGUAGAGCAAAUAGACACAUAGAAUUGGAUGACACCUAUGAGGUCCAAGCUAGAAGGCAGAGAGGCUGUCGGGAUGGCAGGCUUUGGGGGAGCCUCCUUCCUAGAUUUUGAUCAAGAGUUGGAAGGGAACAUAAAUUGCUGGGUUCCAAAUGCUGGUGGGGAUCAUAAGCCACUAAACCUCGGCAUCUUCUUUCCUUAUUGUGCGUGCGUGUGUGUAAGCGUCCAUGUGAGUGCCAACCAAGACGUCGCCAUCAAGCGAAAAAAAUUACAUCCCGUCCUGACGAGCGACUAAUCAAGGCGAGGCGAGCGGGUCUGCCAUAAAUUACUCCAUUCCGAAAUAAACCACACAAACAGACCGAUGAUAAUAAAUGU
RNAcentral lists this long non-coding RNA (1248 nucleotides) under Monodelphis domestica (gray short-tailed opossum). Its description in RNAcentral is "lncRNA (ENSMODG00000031617.2)". The record is from RNAcentral. Lineage: Eukaryota; Metazoa; Chordata; Mammalia; Didelphimorphia; Didelphidae.